This 773-nucleotide ribosomal RNA is filed under the name uncultured bacterium. RNAcentral's name for it is "bacterial SSU rRNA". It matches the Rfam family "Bacterial small subunit ribosomal RNA", at positions 8 to 796 of the family's 1533-position model. The record is from RNAcentral.
AGAGUUUGAUCCUGGCUCAGGACGAACGCUGGCGGCGUGCUUAACACAUGCAAGUCGAGCGGAAAGGCCCUUUCGGGGGUACUCGAGCGGCGAACGGGUGAGUAACACGUGAGCAACCUGCCCUGGACUUUGGGAUAACCCUCGGAAACGGGGGCUAAUACCGAAUACGACACGCCUUCGCAUGGGGUGCGUGUGGAAAGUUUUUCGGUCUGGGAUGGGCUCGCGGCCUAUCAGCUUGUUGGUGGGGUGAUGGCCUACCAAGGCGACGACGGGUAGCCGGCCUGAGAGGGCGACCGGCCACACUGGGACUGAGACACGGCCCAGACUCCUACGGGAGGCAGCAGUGGGGAAUAUUGCACAAUGGGCGGAAGCCUGAUGCAGCGACGCCGCGUGAGGGAUGACGGCCUUCGGGUUGUAAACCUCUUUCAGCAGGGACGAAGCGCAAGUGACGGUACCUGCAGAAGAAGCGCCGGCCAACUACGUGCCAGCAGCCGCGGUAAGACGUAGGGCGCGAGCGUUGUCCGGAUUUAUUGGGCGUAAAGAGCUCGUAGGCGGCUUGUCGCGUCGACUGUGAAAACCCGCGGCUCAACCGCGGGCCUGCAGCCGAUACGGGCAGGCUAGAGUUCGGUAGGGGAGACUGGAAUUCCUGGUGUAGCGGUGAAAUGCGCAGAUAUCAGGAGGAACACCGGUGGCGAAGGCGGGUCUCUGGGCCGAUACUGGCGCUGAGGAGCGAAAGCGUGGGGAGCGAACAGGAUUAGAUACCCUAGUAGUCC